Molecule: non-coding RNA, 397 nt
Organism: Parcubacteria bacterium OLB19
Lineage: Bacteria; Candidatus Parcubacteria
Source: Rfam
GGGGAUGCUAGGCAUCGACGGUGAGUCGUCGCCUUUGUGUGCAGUGUGAGAGAUGCUCGAGACUCUCCUAAAACUCGAGCAACUUGUAUGUGCAAAGAAAAGCAUACCAAGUCCUUACGCUAACGCGUUUGGAUUCGCUCCCGCUCUAGCGUAAAUUUACGCGAGCCGUAGUGAUGCUCAACUUCCUUAUGUCUCAUACAGAAGUUUGGGUAGAAUAGCCAUGAGACUAUGGUCAACCAUGCCGUUUUCAUAGUUGAUUUAAUUUCUUAAAACUCGACCUUGUAGUGUUUGGUCUCCCUUAUAGCUACAUAGUUUAAAUUUAAAGCGAGACUACACACUGUAGAUUCACAAAGACACUCUCAUUCGGACGCGGGUUCAAUUCUCGCCAUCUCCACAA